Frankliniella occidentalis (western flower thrips) is the source of this 1436-nucleotide RNA transcript. It is a transcript of the gene named inorganic pyrophosphatase, with no coding region annotated. The record is from RefSeq and is a predicted model, not a curated record. The transcript has 10 exons. Lineage: Eukaryota; Metazoa; Arthropoda; Insecta; Thysanoptera; Thripidae.
GUUGUUCACGGUUGUACGCUAAGUGGGUGUAUUUUGGACCCUGUAAUCACUCUCCUACUGACCCACGAAGGGUGCGUUUAAUUCCUAUCGAGCCCUACUGGCAUUUCCUCUCAUAGUAAAUUCAACGGCAAACAGCAAAGCACUAUCGCGUGAGCUCCCCCCUGGCGCGCCGCUACUCCACGCCACCCUACUUUGGCCCCGCUCGCACGUCAGCUCCGUCAGCUCCUCGCUCAGAUGUUGGAGAGAUUGGCCCGAAGCUCGUUGGCUAGGAAACUUGUGCGCUCGUUCACGUCGUCUCCAGCUUGGUUCAACAUGCCUUACACCACGAUCGAAAGGGGCCAGCCCAACAGCUUGGACUACCGCGUCUACAUCAGUGACGAGAAUGGACCAAUCUCACCACUUCAUGACAUUCCAAUGUACGCUGAUGCUGCCAACAAAGUGUUCAACAUGCUGGUUGAAGUACCAAGGUGGACAAAUGCCAAGAUGGAGAUUAACCUGAAGGAAAUUAUGAACCCCAUUAAGCAGGAUGUUAAGAAGGGUAAACUGAGAUUUGUUGCAAACUGCUUCCCUCACCAUGGUUACAUCUGGAACUACGGUGCCAUCCCCCAGACUUGGGAAAAUCCAGAGCAUCUUGAUGAUUCUACUGGGUGCAAAGGAGACAAUGAUCCCAUUGAUGUCAUUGAAAUUGGUUACCGGGUUGCCAAGAGGGGAGAAGUUAUGCAAGUUAAAGUACUUGGAACUGUAGCUCUUAUUGAUGAAGGUGAAACCGAUUGGAAAAUCAUUGCAAUUGAUGUGAAUGACCCCGAUGCACCUCUCCUAAAUGAUGUUAGUGAUGUUGAAAAACUGAAACCUGGACUCUUAAAGGCAACUUUGGAGUGGUUUAAAAUCUACAAAAUUCCUGAUGGCAAACCUGAAAAUAAAUUUGCCUUUAAUGGUGAAGCAAAGAACAGAGAAUUUGCCCACAAAGUUAUUGAUGAAGUCCACAAGUUCUGGCAGCAACUUGUGAAGAAGGAAGCUGAAGCUGGUGGCAUAUCCUGUGCCAAUGUUACUGUAGCAGACAGUCCAUUUGCCAUUCAGAGAGGUGAUGCUCAAGACGUGGUGGACAAGAGCCCUCAGCCAGGAAGUGCCCUCCCCAUUGAGCCCAUUGACCUUGAUUUAUGGCACUACAUUACCCAAACUAAAAAGAAACUCUUCAAGCUUUAAGUGGUUGUUGCCACAUCUUGAUUUUUCUACUUUCCCCUGCCCUUGCUGUGUCCAUCAAAUUGUGUUCCAAGACUCUUCCCCACAUUUAAGUGGACAAGUGGCACUACGUAUCACUGAAGUAAGAAAAGAAAGAAAAAUAUGGUUCAUCAAACAUUUAUACCACUUGCACCUCCUAGCAGUACGCUGUGAUCAAGUUUUCUUGCUUAGAUAAUAAAGUACAACCAAUUUUUAAA